UACGGAGGGUGCAAGCGUUGUUCGGAAUCACUGGGCGUAAAGCGCGCGCAGGCGGUCCUUUAAGUCUGAUGUGAAAGCCCACGGCUCAACCGUGGAGGGUCAUUGGAAACUGGGGGACUUGAGUACAGAAGAGAAGAGUGGAAUUCCACGUGUAGCGGUGAAAUGCGUAGAGAUGUGGAGGAACACCAGUGGCGAAGGCGACUCUUUGGUCUGUAACUGACGCUGAGGCGCGAAAGCGUGGGGAGCAAACAGG
RNAcentral lists this ribosomal RNA (253 nucleotides) under uncultured bacterium. Its description in RNAcentral is "partial 16S ribosomal RNA". It matches the Rfam family "Bacterial small subunit ribosomal RNA", at positions 524 to 776 of the family's 1533-position model. The record is from RNAcentral.